GACGAACGCUGGCGGCGUGCUAAUACAUGCAAGUCGAACGCUUCUUUUUCCACCGGAGCUUGCUCCACCGGAAAAAGAGGAGUGGCGAACGGGUGAGUAACACGUGGGUAACCUGCCCAUCAGAAGGGGAUAACACUUGGAAACAGGUGCUAAUACCGUAUAACAAUCGAAACCGCAUGGUUUUGAUUUGAAAGGCGCUUUCGGGUGUCGCUGAUGGAUGGACCCGCGGUGCAUUAGCUAGUUGGUGAGGUAACGGCUCACCAAGGCCACGAUGCAUAGCCGACCUGAGAGGGUGAUCGGCCACAUUGGGACUGAGACACGGCCCAAACUCCUACGGGAGGCAGCAGUAGGGAAUCUUCGGCAAUGGACGAAAGUCUGACCGAGCAACGCCGCGUGAGUGAAGAAGGUUUUCGGAUCGUAAAACUCUGUUGUUAGAGAAGAACAAGGAUGAGAGUAACUGUUCAUCCCUUGACGGUAUCUAACCAGAAAGCCACGGCUAACUACGUGCCAGCAGCCGCGGUAAUACGUAGGUGGCAAGCGUUGUCCGGAUUUAUUGGGCGUAAAGCGAGCGCAGGCGGUUUCUUAAGUCUGAUGUGAAAGCCCCCGGCUCAACCGGGGAGGGUCAUUGGAAACUGGGAGACUUGAGUGCAGAAGAGGAGAGUGGAAUUCCAUGUGUAGCGGUGAAAUGCGUAGAUAUAUGGAGGAACACCAGUGGCGAAGGCGGCUCUCUGGUCUGUAACUGACGCUGAGG
RNAcentral lists this ribosomal RNA (751 nucleotides) under uncultured Bacilli bacterium. RNAcentral's name for it is "bacterial SSU rRNA". It matches the Rfam family "Bacterial small subunit ribosomal RNA", at positions 28 to 751 of the family's 1533-position model. The record is from RNAcentral. Lineage: Bacteria; Bacillati; Bacillota; Bacilli.